CGUGUGUGUGUGUGUGUGUGUGUGUGUGUGUAUACAUACACACACACACACACACACACUAUAUAUAUAUA
Molecule: microRNA precursor, 71 nt
Filed under: Podarcis lilfordi (Lilford's wall lizard)
Lineage: Eukaryota; Metazoa; Chordata; Lepidosauria; Squamata; Lacertidae
Source: RNAcentral